This 280-nucleotide unclassified non-coding RNA is filed under the name Chloridium sp. Its description in RNAcentral is "partial contains 5.8S ribosomal RNA, internal transcribed spacer 2, and large subunit ribosomal RNA". The stretch from base 1 to 71 matches the Rfam family "5.8S ribosomal RNA", at positions 84 to 154 of the family's 154-position model. The record is from RNAcentral. Lineage: Eukaryota; Fungi; Ascomycota; Sordariomycetes; Chaetosphaeriales; Chaetosphaeriaceae.
GUGAAUCAUCGAAUCUUUGAACGCACAUUGCGCCCGCCAGCAUUCUGGCGGGCAUGCCUGUUCGAGCGUCAUUGCAACCCUCAGGCCCUGCCUGGCGUUGGAGGACUGCACCGCAGCCUCCCAAAGCAAGCGGCGGCGGCGCCCCAAAACCGAACGCAGUAGUUAUACCUCGUUCUGGGUGUGGGACGUUGCCCGGCCGGAAAACCCCUUACUUUUUAGUGGUUGACCUCGAAUCAGGUAGGAAUACCCGCUGAACUUAAGCAUAUCAAUAAGCGGAGGA